Molecule: ribosomal RNA, 478 nt
Filed under: uncultured bacterium
Lineage: Bacteria
Description: bacterial SSU rRNA
Rfam family: Bacterial small subunit ribosomal RNA
Source: RNAcentral
CAUCUGGCUCAGGAUAAACGCUGGCGGCGUGCAUGAGACAUGCAAGUCGAACGAACGAGCUUGCUCGUUAGUGGCGGACGGCUGAGUAACGCGUAGGUGACCUGCCCCGAAGUGGGGGAUAACUGCCCGAAAGGGUGGCUAAUACCGCAUGUGGCGACACUUUCAUUGGUGUCAUCAAAGCCGCGAGGCGCUUCGGGAGGGGCCUGCGUCCGAUUAGCUCGUUGGUGGGGUAAUGGCUCACCAAGGCGACGAUCGGUAGGUGGUCUGAGAGGACGAUUACCCAGACUGGGAUGAGACACGAGCCCAGACUCCUACGGGAGGCAGCAGUCGGGUAAUUUUGCUCAUAUGGGCGCAAGUCCUGAAGCAGCAACGCCGCGUGCGGGAUGAAGGCCUUCGGGUUGUAAACCGACUUUUACCAGGGUACGUAUAAUGAACGGGUACCCUCAAUUAAAUAAAGCCACGGGCCUAAACUACGUGC